This 75-nucleotide transfer RNA is filed under the name Candidatus Saccharimonadota bacterium. RNAcentral's name for it is "tRNA-Gln". It matches the Rfam family "tRNA". Rfam says of the family: Transfer RNA (tRNA) molecules are approximately 80 nucleotides in length. Lineage: Bacteria; Candidatus Saccharimonadota. The record is from RNAcentral.
UGGGGCGUCGCCAAGUGGUAAGGCACUGGCUUUUGGUGCCAGCAUUCGGGGGUUCGAAUCCCUCCGCCCCAGCCA